Molecule: ribosomal RNA, 309 nt
Filed under: uncultured Vibrio sp.
Lineage: Bacteria; Pseudomonadati; Pseudomonadota; Gammaproteobacteria; Vibrionales; Vibrionaceae
Description: bacterial SSU rRNA
Rfam family: Bacterial small subunit ribosomal RNA
Source: RNAcentral
GCUACACAUGCAGUCGAGCGGCAGCACAGAGGAACUUGUUCCUUGGGUGGCGAGCGGCGGACGGGUGAGUAAUGCCUAGGAAAUUGCCCUGAUGUGGGGGAUAACCAUUGAAAACGAUGGCUAAUACCGCAUGAUGCCUACAGGCCAAAGAGGGGGACCUUCGGGCCUCUCGCGUCAGGAUAUGCCUAGGUGGGAUUAGCUAGUUGGUGAGGUAAUGGCUCACCAAGGCGACGAUCCCUAGCUGGUCUGAGAGGAUGAUCAGCCACACUGGAACUGAGACACGGUCCAGACUCCUACGGGGAGGCAGCA